CUCCUACGGGAGGCAGCAGUGGGGAAUUUUGGACAAUGGGCGCAAGCCUGAUCCAGCCAUGCCGCGUGUCUGAAGAAGGCCUUCGGGUUGUAAAGGACUUUUGUCGGGGAGGAAAUCCUCUGGGUUAAUACCCUAGGGGGAUGACAGUACCUGAAGAAUAAGCACCGGCUAACUACGUGCCAGCAGCCGCGGUAAUACGUAGGGUGCAAGCGUUAAUCGGAAUUACUGGGCGUAAAGCGUGCGCAGGCGGUUGUGCAAGUCUGAUGUGAAAUCCCCGGGCUUAACCUGGGAACUGCAUUGGAGACUGCACGGCUAGAGUGCGUCAGAGGGGGGUGGAAUUCCGCGUGUAGCAGUGAAAUGCGUAGAGAUGCGGAGGAACACCGAUGGCGAAGGCAGCCCCCUGGGAUGACACUGACGCUCAUGCACGAAAGCGUGGGGAGCAAACAGGAUUAGAUACCCUGGUAGUCCACGCCCUAAACGAUGUCAACUAGCUGUUGGGGGGUUUGAAUCCUUGGUAGCGUAGCUAACGCGUGAAGUUGACCGCCUGGGGAGUACGGCCGCAAGGUUAAAACUCAAAGGAAUUGACGGGGACCCGCACAAGCGGUGGAUGAUGUGGAUUAAUUCGAUGCAACGCGAAGAA
RNAcentral lists this ribosomal RNA (640 nucleotides) under Gulbenkiania mobilis. Its description in RNAcentral is "bacterial SSU rRNA". It matches the Rfam family "Bacterial small subunit ribosomal RNA", at positions 336 to 968 of the family's 1533-position model. The record is from RNAcentral. Lineage: Bacteria; Pseudomonadati; Pseudomonadota; Betaproteobacteria; Neisseriales; Chromobacteriaceae.